CGAGCGAGAAAAGUUCUUCGGAGCUUUUCUAGCGGCGGACGGGUGAGUAACACGUGGGCAACCUGCCUCAUAGAGGGGAAUAGCCCUCCGAAAGGAAGAUUAAUACCGCAUAACUUUGCUGAAAGGCAUCUUUUAACAAUCAAAGGAGCAACCCCCUUUGAGAUGGGCCCCCGGCGCAUUAGCUAGUAGGUGGGGUAACGGCUCACCUAGGCGACGAUCCCUAGCUGGUCUGAGAGGAUGACCAGCCACACUGGAACUGAGACACGGUCCAAACUCCUACGGGAGGCAGCAGUGGGGAAUAUUGCACAAUGGGCGCAAGCCUGAUGCAGCCAUGCCGCGUGUAUGAAGAAGGCCUUCGGGUUGUAAAGUACUUUCAGCGGGGAGGAAGGGAGUAAAGUUAAUACCUUGGCGAAUUGACGUUAACUACAGAAGAAGCACCGGCUAACUCCGUGCCAGCAGCCGCGGUAAUACGGAGGGUGCAAGCGUUAAUCGGAAUUACUGGGCGUAAAGCGCACGCAGGCGGUUUGUUAAGUCAGAUGUGAAAUCCCCGGGCUCAACCUGGGAACUGCAUUUGAAACUGGCAGGCUAGAGUCUUGUAGAGGGGGGUAGAAUUCCAGGUGUAACGGUGGAAUGUGUAGAUAUCGGGAAGAACACCAAUGGCGAAGGCGGCCCCCUGGACAAAGACUGACGCUCAGGUGCGAAAGCGUGGGGAGCAAACAGGAUUAGAUACCCUGGUAGUCCACGCCGUAAACGAUGUCGAUUUGGAGGUUGUGCCCUUGAGGCGUGGCUUCCGGAGCUAACGCGUUAAGCAUCCCGCCUGGGGAGUACGGCCGCAAGGCUAAAACUCAAAGAAAUUGACGGGGGCCCGCACAAGUAGCGGAGCAUGUGGUUUAAUUCGAAGCAACGCGAAGAACCUUACCAGGUCUUGACAUCUCCUGCAUUACCCUUAAUCGGGGAAGUUCCUUCGGGGACAGGAAGACAGGUGGUGCAUGGUUGUCGUCAGCUCGUGCUGUGAGAUGUUGGGUUAAGUCCCGCAACGAGCGCAACCCUUAUUGUUAGUUGGUACCAUUAAGUUGACCACUCUAGCGAGACUGCCCGGGUUAACCGGGAGGAAGGUGGGGAUGACGUCAAAUCAUCAUGCCCCUUAUGUCUAGGGCUACACACGUGCUACAAAGGCAAGUACAAAGAGAAGCAAUACUGUGAAGUGGAGCAAAACUCAAAAACUUGUCUCAGUUCGGAUUGUAGGCUGAAACUCGCCUACAUGAAGCUGGAGUUGCUAGUAAUCGCGAAUCAGAAUGUCGCGGUGAAUACGAUCCCGGGUCUUGUACACACCGCCCGUCA
Molecule: ribosomal RNA, 1341 nt
Filed under: human gut metagenome
Description: bacterial SSU rRNA
Rfam family: Bacterial small subunit ribosomal RNA
Source: RNAcentral